Molecule: ribosomal RNA, 774 nt
Filed under: uncultured Neocallimastigales
Lineage: Eukaryota; Fungi; Neocallimastigomycota; Neocallimastigomycetes; Neocallimastigales
Description: partial large subunit ribosomal RNA
Rfam family: Eukaryotic large subunit ribosomal RNA
Source: RNAcentral
UAUGUGAUCGUCUCUCGCAUAUCAAUAAGCGGAGGAAAAGAAACUAACAAGGAUUCCCCUAGUAACGGCGAGUGAAGCGGGAAGAGCUCAAAUUUGAAAUCUUAAAGGGUUUCCCUUUACGAAUUGUAGUUUAAAGAAGUGUUUUCUGUUGAGGUUUUGGUAAAAGUUCUUUGGAAUAGGACAUCAUAGAGGGUGAGAAUCCCGUAUUUGACCUUUACUUUCAACUUUGUGAUACACUUUCAAAGAGUCGGAUUGUUUGGGAAUGCAGUCCAAAAUGGGUGGUAAAUUUCAUCUAAAGCUAAAUAUUGGCGAGAGACCGAUAGCGAACAAGUACCGUGAGGGAAAGAUGAAAAGAACUUUGAAAAGAGAGUUAAACAGUACGUGAAAUUGUCAAAAGGGAAGCGUUUGACACCAGUGUUGUUUUUCUGAAAAUCGAUUAAAGAACUGUUUAUGCUAAGCUGUUUAGACUUUAUCAGCUAUCUGUUUAGUUUUGAGCUUUUCUUUAAUGCACUUUUCAGUUAACAAGUCAACAUCAAUUUCUUUUGCUGUAAAAAAGCUUGAGGAAGGUGGCUUGAGAUUCGUCUUAAGUGUUUAUAGCCUCUUGCCUAUGCAGUCGGAGAGAUUGAGGUCUGCAGCGUAGAUCCUUCGGGGCUAAAUGCAUUUGUGCUAAGUUAUAACAUUUUAUAGACAACUUGUUGACUAUGAUUUGUCUUGUAGCUUACUCGCUUAUGUUAUUUUACCUACGCUUAGGAUGUUGAAGUCAUCGUAUCGCGC